RNAcentral lists this non-coding RNA (31 nucleotides) under Rattus norvegicus (Norway rat). The record is from RNAcentral. Lineage: Eukaryota; Metazoa; Chordata; Mammalia; Rodentia; Muridae.
UGUGGAUCCUAUAACUUGUGAGCUUUUCAAG